GCUUACGGUCACACACCCAGAGCAGGGGCAGCCUGGCCAGCUGAGUCCCAGCCUAAGCGCAUUUCUGGAGCAGAUGCAGGCUGCUUUUCACUUUUUGCAGGGAUCAAAGUGGCUUGCAUGGGCAUUUUCUACUUGGCAGGAUGAUGGGACUUGUACUGGCAUGCACAUGUCCUGCCCCAGCUGCCCAGAGCUGAGGAGAUAGAUGAGAUGGCAGCCCUGACAGACUUUGGCUGAAAAUAGGGGCCGAUGCGUGGACAAGGAAAUAGAGACAGAAGCCAUGGGAGCAAGAAUGAGUGUGCAGCAGAUGCAUCAUGUACUGGAGUUUGUUUGCAGUCUCCUCAGACAGGUGGGACCAAACACUUUCAGAAGCUGCUUCCUUCCCCUGCUGAGCUGAGGGAUGCCAGUGUCAGAGCACACCUGAAACUAGUUGCUUUGCCUUUAGGUAACUGAAGAGAGAAGAAUUGCAUCACACUUUCAGACCAGAAGUUUGAAAUGGAUUUAGGCACCUGUAAAAUGUAGCCCUCUGGCAUCAUCCGCCAGCUCCCAG
RNAcentral lists this long non-coding RNA (547 nucleotides) under Athene cunicularia (burrowing owl). RNAcentral's name for it is "lncRNA (ENSACUG00000011713.1)". The record is from RNAcentral. Lineage: Eukaryota; Metazoa; Chordata; Aves; Strigiformes; Strigidae.